GAUGGAAGAACGUAGCGAAAUGCGAUAAGUAGUGUGAAUUGCAGAAUUCAGUGAAUCAUCGAAUCUUUGAACGCACAUUGCGCCCCAUGGUAUUCCGUGGGGCAUGCCUGUUCGAGCGUCAUUUACCCCCUCAAGCUCCGCUUGGUGUUGGGCGUCUGUCCCGCUUCGCGCGCGGACUCGCCCCAAAGGUAUUGGCAGCGGUCGUGCCAGCUUCUCGCGCAGCACAUUGCGCUUCUCGAGGCACCGGUGGGCCCGCGUCCAUCAAGCUCACCCCCCCAGUUUGACCUCGGAUCAGGUAGGGAUACCCGCUGAACUUAAGCAUAUCAAUAAGCGGAGGA
RNAcentral lists this unclassified non-coding RNA (338 nucleotides) under soil metagenome. RNAcentral describes it as "partial contains 5.8S ribosomal RNA, internal transcribed spacer 2, and large subunit ribosomal RNA". The stretch from base 5 to 121 matches the Rfam family "5.8S ribosomal RNA", at positions 38 to 154 of the family's 154-position model. The record is from RNAcentral.